GGGUUGUGAGGUUAAGCGACUAAGCGUACACGGUGGAUGCCCUGGCAGUCAGAGGCGAUGAAGGGCGUGCUAAUCUGCGAUAAGCGCCGGUAAGGUGAUAUGAACCGUUAUAACCGGCGAUACCCGAAUGGGGAAACCCAGUGUGAUUCGUCACACUAUCAUUAACUGAAUCCAUAGGUUAAUGAGGCGAACCGGGGGAACUGAAACAUCUAAGUACCCCGAGGAAAAGAAAUCAACCGAGAUUCCCCCAGUAGCGGCGAGCGAACGGGGAGGAGCCCAGAGCCUGAAUCAGCAUGUGUGUUAGUGGAAGCGUCUGGAAAGGCGCGCGAUACAGGGUGACAGCCCCGUACACAAAAGCGCAUGUGUUGUGAGCUCGAUGAGUAGGGCGGGACACGUGGUAUCCUGUCUGAAUAUGGGGGGACCAUCCUCCAAGGCUAAAUACUCCUGACUGACCGAUAGUGAACCAGUACCGUGAGGGAAAGGCGAAAAGAACCCCGGCGAGGGGAGUGAAAAAGAACCUGAAACCGUGUACGUACAAGCAGUGGGAGCACAGGUUUACCUGUGUGACUGCGUACCUUUUGUAUAAUGGGUCAGCGACUUAUAUUCUGUAGCAAGGUUAACCGCAUAGGGGAGCCGGAGGGAAACCGAGUCUUAAUUGGGCGUUAAGUUGCAGGGUAUAGACCCGAAACCCGGUGAUCUAGCCAUGGGCAGGUUGAAGGUUGGGUAACACUAACUGGAGGACCGAACCGACUAAUGUUGAAAAAUUAGCGGAUGACCUGUGGCUGGGGGUGAAAGGCCAAUCAAACCGGGAGAUAGCUGGUUCUCCCCGAAAGCUAUUUAGGUAGCGCCUCGUGAAUUCAUCUCCGGGGGUAGAGCACUGUUUCGGCUAGGGGGCCAUCCCGGCUUACCAACCCGAUGCAAACUGCGAAUACCGGAGAAUGUUAUCACGGGAGACACACGGCGGGUGCUAACGUCCGUCGUGAAGAGGGAAACAACCCAGACCGCCAGCUAAGGUCCCAAAGUCAUGGUUAAGUGGGAAACGAUGUGGGAAGGCCCAGACAGCCAGGAUGUUGGCUUAGAAGCAGCCAUCAUUUAAAGAAAGCGUAAUAGCUCACUGGUCGAGUCGGCCUGCGCGGAAGAUGUAACGGGGCUAAACCAUGCACCGAAGCUGCGGCAGCGACACUGUGUGUUGUUGGGUAGGGGAGCGUUCUGUAAGCCUGUGAAGGUGGCCUGUGAGGGUUGCUGGAGGUAUCAGAAGUGCGAAUGCUGACAUAAGUAACGAUAAAGCGGGUGAAAAGCCCGCUCGCCGGAAGACCAAGGGUUCCUGUCCAACGUUAAUCGGGGCAGGGUGAGUCGACCCCUAAGGCGAGGCCGAAAGGCGUAGUCGAUGGGAAACGGGUUAAUAUUCCCGUACUUGGUGUUACUGCGAAGGGGGGACGGAGAAGGCUAUGUUGGCCGGGCGACGGUUGUCCCGGUUUAAGCGUGUAGGUGUGUGUUCCAGGUAAAUCCGGUUCACUUUAACACUGAGGCGUGAUGACGAGGCACUACGGUGCUGAAGCAACAAAUGCCCUGCUUCCAGGAAAAGCCUCUAAGCAUCAGGUAACAUCAAAUCGUACCCCAAACCGACACAGGUGGUCAGGUAGAGAAUACCAAGGCGCUUGAGAGAACUCGGGUGAAGGAACUAGGCAAAAUGGUGCCGUAACUUCGGGAGAAGGCACGCUGACACGUAGGUGAAGUGAUUUACUCAUGGAGCUGAAGUCAGUCGAAGAUACCAGCUGGCUGCAACUGUUUAUUAAAAACACAGCACUGUGCAAACACGAAAGUGGACGUAUACGGUGUGACGCCUGCCCGGUGCCGGAAGGUUAAUUGAUGGGGUCAGCGCAAGCGAAGCUCCUGAUCGAAGCCCCGGUAAACGGCGGCCGUAACUAUAACGGUCCUAAGGUAGCGAAAUUCCUUGUCGGGUAAGUUCCGACCUGCACGAAUGGCGUAAUGAUGGCCAGGCUGUCUCCACCCGAGACUCAGUGAAAUUGAACUCGCUGUGAAGAUGCAGUGUACCCGCGGCAAGACGGAAAGACCCCGUGAACCUUUACUAUAGCUUGACACUGAACAUUGAGCCUUGAUGUGUAGGAUAGGUGGGAGGCUUUGAAGUGUGGACGCCAGUCUGCAUGGAGCCGACCUUGAAAUACCACCCUUUAAUGUUUGAUGUUCUAACGUGGACCCGUGAUCCGGGUUGCGGACAGUGUCUGGUGGGUAGUUUGACUGGGGCGGUCUCCUCCUAAAGAGUAACGGAGGAGCACGAAGGUUGGCUAAUCCUGGUCGGACAUCAGGAGGUUAGUGCAAUGGCAUAAGCCAGCUUGACUGCGAGCGUGACGGCGCGAGCAGGUGCGAAAGCAGGUCAUAGUGAUCCGGUGGUUCUGAAUGGAAGGGCCAUCGCUCAACGGAUAAAAGGUACUCCGGGGAUAACAGGCUGAUACCGCCCAAGAGUUCAUAUCGACGGCGGUGUUUGGCACCUCGAUGUCGGCUCAUCACAUCCUGGGGCUGAAGUAGGUCCCAAGGGUAUGGCUGUUCGCCAUUUAAAGUGGUACGCGAGCUGGGUUUAGAACGUCGUGAGACAGUUCGGUCCCUAUCUGCCGUGGGCGCUGGAGAACUGAGGGGGGCUGCUCCUAGUACGAGAGGACCGGAGUGGACGCAUCACUGGUGUUCGGGUUGUCAUGCCAAUGGCACUGCCCGGUAGCUAAAUGCGGAAGAGAUAAGUGCUGAAAGCAUCUAAGCACGAAACUUGCCCCGAGAUGAGUUCUCCCUGAGACUUAAAGUCUCCUGAAGGAACGUUGAAGACGACGACGUUGAUAGGCCGGGUGUGUAAGCGCAGCGAUGCGUUGAGCUAACCGGUACUAAUGAACCGUGAGGCUUAACCUUACAACGCCGAAG
Molecule: ribosomal RNA, 2928 nt
Filed under: Salmonella enterica
Lineage: Bacteria; Pseudomonadati; Pseudomonadota; Gammaproteobacteria; Enterobacterales; Enterobacteriaceae
Also listed under: 2 other names
Description: bacterial LSU rRNA
Rfam family: Bacterial large subunit ribosomal RNA
Source: RNAcentral